This 253-nucleotide ribosomal RNA is filed under the name uncultured bacterium. RNAcentral's name for it is "partial 16S ribosomal RNA". It matches the Rfam family "Bacterial small subunit ribosomal RNA", at positions 524 to 776 of the family's 1533-position model. The record is from RNAcentral.
UACGGGGGGGGCAAGCGUUGUUCGGAAUUACUGGGCGUAAAGGGCUCGUAGGCGGCCAACUAAGUCAGACGUGAAAUCCCCAGGCUCAACCUGGGAACUGCGUCUGAUACUGGAUGGCUUGAAUCCGGGAGAGGGAUGCAGAAUUCCAGGUGUAGCGGUGAAAUGCGUAGAUAUCUGGAGGAAUACCGGUGGCGAAGGCGGCAUCCUGGACCGGCAUUGACGCUGAUGAGCGAAAGCCAGGGGAGCAAACGGG